GAUGAACGCUGGCGGCGUGCCUAAUACAUGCAAGUCGAGCGAACGGACGAGAAGCUUGCUUCUCUGAUGUUAGCGGCGGACGGGUGAGUAACACGUGGAUAACCUACCUAUAAGACUGGGAUAACUUCGGGAAACCGGAGCUAAUACCGGAUGAUAUUUUGAACCGCAUGGUUCAAAAGUGAAAGACGGUCUUGCUGUCACUUAUAGAUGGAUCCGCGCUGCAUUAGCUAGUUGGUAAGGUAACGGCUUACCAAGGCAACGAUGCAUAGCCGACCUGAGAGGGGGAUGGGCCCCCCGGGAACGGAGACACGGGCCGGACCCCCAGGGGGGGCAGAAGGAGGAAAUUUCCCGAAAGGGGCGAAACCCUGACGGGGCAACCCCGGGGGGGUGUGAAAGGUCUUCGGUUCGAAAACCUCUUUUUUUAGGGAAGAAAAAAUGUGUAAGAAACGGUGCACAUCUUGAGGGUACCGAAACAGAAAGCCCGGGCAAACUACGG
This 496-nucleotide ribosomal RNA is filed under the name uncultured bacterium. RNAcentral describes it as "partial 16S ribosomal RNA". It matches the Rfam family "Bacterial small subunit ribosomal RNA", at positions 28 to 506 of the family's 1533-position model. The record is from RNAcentral.